Saccostrea echinata is the source of this 306-nucleotide long non-coding RNA. RefSeq lists it as uncharacterized. The transcript has 3 exons. The record is from RefSeq and is a predicted model, not a curated record. NCBI's taxonomy places the organism in Eukaryota, Metazoa, Mollusca, Bivalvia, Ostreida, Ostreidae.
AUUAUAAUCGUUCACCAAUUUCGAGAAAGAUUAUUAUUUGGACGCUUGAAAAAGGAAACGUUUGUCUGCCGAAGAUAAUCACGUGACUCAAGGCCAUGUGCUAGCAUCAACAGUGCGGCAGUGCCACUGAAAGUCAGGCAGUAUGCCGGAGCAACAGUCUUGAUUUUUAGAGGCAGGUUUUAAAGAAAGAAAUCAGUGUUGUAAAGAAAGAAAAAGAUUUUCCACUCAAAGAAUUAUGGAUGACACAGAGUACUUCCUAUUGAUGAUGUCAUAACCAACUUUGAAAAAGUUUUGUUAGAAAGAAAA